GAAAAGGCCCCAAGGACACCACCCUCCAGCCCAGGAGCCUGAGGAGGCCGUGCCCUGUGAGUGUCCCCACUAUGGCCUGGACGGUGCUCCUGCUCGGGCUCCUCACUUACAGCUCAGGUGUGGAUUCUCAGACUGUGGUCACCCAGGAGCCGUCGCUGUCUGUGUCUCCAGGAGGGACGGUCACACUCACCUGUGGCCUUAGUUCUGGGUCAGUCUCUAGUAGUAGUCACUACCCCAGCUGGUACCAGCAGACCCCAGGCAAGGCUCCCCGCAUGCUCAUCUAUAGCACAAACAGCCGGCCCUCUGGGGUCCCUGAGCGCUUCUCUGGAUCCAUCUCUGGGAACAAAGCCAUCCUCACCAUCACGGGGGCCCAGCCUGAGGACGAGGCCGACUAUCACUGUGCUCUAUACACGGGUACUUCUCCUCCUAAUGGGUCUGGGAGGCAAGAAAAGGCCCCAAAGACACCUCCUUCCACCCCAGGUGCCUGAGGAAGCCGUGUCCUGAGUGUGCCUCCAC
Molecule: non-coding RNA, 516 nt
Organism: Phyllostomus discolor (pale spear-nosed bat)
Lineage: Eukaryota; Metazoa; Chordata; Mammalia; Chiroptera; Phyllostomidae
Source: the annotation of a RefSeq genome assembly